RNAcentral lists this non-coding RNA (314 nucleotides) under Aureoumbra lagunensis. Lineage: Eukaryota; Pelagophyceae; Sarcinochrysidales; Sarcinochrysidaceae. The record is from RNAcentral.
CUUCCGUGAGUUGGCAGCUAUCAUGACUUGGAGAGUUAUUUUUGGUGAGGAGACGGAGACACGAGCCUGUCCAGUGUAUGCAUGUACUAGUAGUGCGUGGGAAAACUGCAUUCUUCAGAAAUUGGAAGGCUCUGCAGUCUUUCUACGAAAGCCGAAAAGUUGCAAUCGGAGAAUGUCUCUCCCACAUUGCCGAAACAAAUGAUGUAGCACAAUUAGUAGGCGAUACAUUCACUAGGCAUUACGAAUUAUACAAAGCACUUUGGAAUAGUGGUGUCCGUGGCUCGGUGAUCGUUUGUGGAUCUCUCAAGUACCCU